GAUGAACGCUGGCGGCGUGCUUAAUACAUGCAAGUCGAGCGAACAGACGCGGAGCUUGCUCCUCUGACGUUAGCGGCGGACGGGUGAGUAACACGUGGAUACCCUCCCUAUAAGACUGGGAUAACUUCGGGAAACCGGCGCUAAUCCCGGAUGAUAUAUUGAACCGCAUGGUUGAAUAGUGAGAGACGGCUUUGCUGGCAGUUCUAGAUGGAUCCCCGCCGCAUUAGCUGGUUGGUGAGGUAACGGCCUACCAAGGCAACGCUGCGUGGCCGACCUGAGUGGGUGGUCGGCCACCCUGGAGCUGGGACGCGGUCCAGGCUCCUGCGGGAGGCAGCAGUAGGGAAUCUGCCGCAGUGGGCGGAAGCCUUGCGGAGCGGGGCCGCGUGAGUGGUGGAGGUCUUCGGAUCGGAAAACUCUGUUAUUGGGGAAGAACAAAUUUGGAAGUAACUAUGCACGUCUUGACGGUACCUAAUCAGAAAGCCACGGCUAACUACGUG
RNAcentral lists this ribosomal RNA (497 nucleotides) under uncultured bacterium. RNAcentral's name for it is "partial 16S ribosomal RNA". It matches the Rfam family "Bacterial small subunit ribosomal RNA", at positions 28 to 507 of the family's 1533-position model. The record is from RNAcentral.